GUGGGGAAUAUUCCGCAAUGGACGAAAGUCUGACGGAGCAACGCCGCGUGAGUGAUGAAGGUUUUCGGACUGUAAAGCUCUGUUGUUUAGGACGAAAGUGCCUGUUGCAAAUAGUUACAGGUAUUGACGGUACUGAACGAGGAAGCCACGGCUAACUACGUGCCAGCAGCCGCGGUAAUACGUAGGUGGCAAGCGUUGUCCGGAAUUAUUGGGCGUAAAGAGCAUAUAGGCGGGAAUCUAAGUCUGUUGUGAAAAUGCGGGGCUCAACCCCGUAUUGCGAUGGAAACUGGGUUUCUUGAGUGCAGGAGAGGAAAGGGGAAUUCCCAGUGUAGCGGUGAAAUGCGUAGAUAUUGGGAGGAACACCAGUGGCGAAGGCGGAUUACUGGACGAUAACUGACGCUGAGGCGCGAAAGCGUGGGGAGCAAACAGGAUUAGAUACCCCAGUAGUCC
RNAcentral lists this ribosomal RNA (450 nucleotides) under uncultured bacterium. RNAcentral's name for it is "partial 16S ribosomal RNA". It matches the Rfam family "Bacterial small subunit ribosomal RNA", at positions 354 to 796 of the family's 1533-position model. The record is from RNAcentral.